This is a long non-coding RNA of Bombina bombina (fire-bellied toad), 1091 nucleotides long. RefSeq lists it as uncharacterized. The transcript has 4 exons. The record is from RefSeq and is a predicted model, not a curated record. Lineage: Eukaryota; Metazoa; Chordata; Amphibia; Anura; Bombinatoridae.
CUAACCUCAGAACAGAUAUUUAAAAAAUGCAGGGUGAGAGAGAAGCUGACAAUGCUGAAGUUAGACAGCAUAGGCCUGACAUCCCCAGAGUUAGGCUGGAUAUAGAAACCCUGAAUGAGCAGCAGGUGGUUGAAAGACAGGCUGGAAAGCCAGGGCUAUUCAAGCAGGACUGUCCCUGGAAUGACCAAACUACUAGGGGCACUUAAUUUUUUGGCUUCUGGAUCCUUUCAGGUGACAGGGGGCAUUGUAACUGGGGUCCACUUUUUCUAAGCAUCUUUCACAAGUUCUUGAUGGACUUUAUGAUAAUUGCAGAAAAUAUAUUUUUCCCCCACAUCACCAAGAGGUUGGCGUGAUGUUAAGAGGGACGUUUUUCUUUUAGGUGGCAUACUGGCCUAAGACCCCCUGUGCGCAGGGAGAUAAUAUUUAGGAAUUGCAAACACUUCCACUCCUUAAAUGUGCAGAAUAUAUGCAAUGCAAACAUGCAUAUAUUAAAUGUCGUAUCAGGGUUCCCAGGAAGUAGCCAUGAUGCCUACAUCCUCAGGAAUUCUGGUGUGUGGAAAUUGUUUGAGACAAAUCAAAUGCCUGAAGGACAUCUCCUCGCUGAUUCUGCAUAUCCUCUUAAAAAAUGGAUUUGGACACCAUUGAAUUAGAACCAGGUUGUUGGGCCUGCUGAAUUAAGAUAUAAUGAAGCACAUAUCAGAACACGGGCUAUAAUAGAAAGACUGUUUGGUCUUCUAAAAAUGCGCUUUCGCUGCCUGGACAGAUCAGGGGGGAUCUCCAAUACAGUCCUGAAAAAGCGAUAAAAAUCAUAGUAGCAUGUUGCUGUCUACAUAACAUGGCACAGGAGCAUGGGAUGUUGAACGAUUUACUUCUACCAACACAGCCCCCAGGUGAAAUCUUUGAGCCUGAUGUAAUUAAUCAUCCCCAACCACUCAAUGUCCAUUUGGAGAGAACUACAACUAUUCAAGAUUUCUUUUCAGAUUGAAGAUUGUUAGUUACAGAUCCUCAGAAAUGGAAUACCACUCCCCUUCCUCUCGCCUCAUCCCAAUAUUUACCAAAUUUUCCCUAAAUAAAUGUGUACUUAUAGUCAA